AUUGAACGCUGGCGGCAUGCCUUACACAUGCAAGUCGAACGGCAGCACGGGAGCAAUCCUGGUGGCGAGUGGCGAACGGGUGAGUAAUACAUCGGAACGUGCCCAGUAGUGGGGGAUAACCCGGCGAAAGUCGGACUAAUACCGCAUACGACCUAUGGGUGAAAGCGGGGGAUCGCAAGACCUCGCGCUAUUGGAGCGGCCGAUGGCAGAUUAGGUAGUUGGUGAGGUAAAGGCUCACCAAGCCUUCGAUCUGUAGCUGGUCUGAGAGGACGACCAGCCACACCGGGACUGAGACACGGCCCAGACUCCUACGGGAGGCAGCAGUGGGGAAUUUUGGACAAUGGGCGCAAGCCUGAUCCAGCAAUGCCGCGUGCGGGAAGAAGGCCUCGGUUGUAACGCUUUGUCAGGGAAGAAACGACUCUGGGCGUAAUACCCUGGAGUAAUGACGGUACCUGAAGAAUAAGACACCGGCUAACUACGUGCCAGCAGCCGCGGUAA
This 498-nucleotide ribosomal RNA is filed under the name uncultured bacterium. RNAcentral's name for it is "bacterial SSU rRNA". It matches the Rfam family "Bacterial small subunit ribosomal RNA", at positions 29 to 523 of the family's 1533-position model. The record is from RNAcentral.